Molecule: ribosomal RNA, 482 nt
Filed under: uncultured bacterium
Lineage: Bacteria
Description: bacterial SSU rRNA
Rfam family: Bacterial small subunit ribosomal RNA
Source: RNAcentral
UUGAACGCUGGCGGCAUGCUUUACACAUGCAAGUCGAACGGCAGCGGGGGCUUCGGCCUGCCGGCGAGUGGCGAACGGGUGAGUAAUGCAUCGGAACGUGCCCAGUCAUAGGGGAUAACUACGCGAAAGCGUAGCUAAUACCGCAUACGCCCUGAGGGGGAAAGCGGGGGACCGUAAGGCCUCGCGCGAUCGGAGCGGCCGAUGUCAGAUUAGGUAGUUGGUGGGGUAAAGGCUCACCAAGCCGACGAUCUGUAGCUGGUCUGAGAGGACGACCAGCCACACUGGGACUGAGACACGGCCCAGACUCCUACGGGAGGCAGCAGUGGGGAAUUUUGGACAAUGGGGGCAACCCUGAUCCAGCCAUGCCGCGUGAGUGAAGAAGGCCUUCGGGUUGUAAAGCUCUUUCAGACGGAAAGAAAUCGGGCGCGUGAAUAGCGUGCCUGGAUGACGGUACUGUCAGAAGAAGCACCGGCUAACUACGU